CACCGAUCCACUUUACUCAGUAGUCUUUUAUUGUCUCUUGGCUUCUAAAUUUAGUAUGUAAAUGGUUACUGUUAUCAUCAAAAACUGAAAAAGAGAUUUAAAAAUAAAAUACUUAAACAAACAGGCAACUGUACAGUUGAAAACGUGCAAAUUAGCUUCACAACUAUAUUUCAUUGUUUCAAAAUAUAACAGUACUGUCCCUUUGCAUGACAUGUG
This 216-nucleotide long non-coding RNA is filed under the name Mytilus galloprovincialis (Mediterranean mussel). The record is from RNAcentral. Lineage: Eukaryota; Metazoa; Mollusca; Bivalvia; Mytilida; Mytilidae.